Molecule: ribosomal RNA, 373 nt
Filed under: uncultured bacterium
Lineage: Bacteria
Description: bacterial SSU rRNA
Rfam family: Bacterial small subunit ribosomal RNA
Source: RNAcentral
GACGAACGCUGGCGGCGUGCUUAACACAUGCAAGUCGAGCGGUAAGGCCCUUUCGGGGGUACACGAGCGGCGAACGGGUGAGUAACACGUGGGUGACCUGCCCUCAGCUCUGGGAUAAGCCUGGGAAACCGGGUCUAAUACCGGAUAUGACUCCAUGACGCAUGUUGUGGGGUGGAAAGCCUUGUGCGGCUGAGGAUGGGCCCGCGGCCUAUCAGCUUGUUGGUGGGGUGAUGGCCUACCAAGGCGACGACGGGUAGCCGGCCUGAGAGGGCGACCGGCCACACUGGAACUGAGACACGGCCCAGACUCCUACGGGAGGCAGCAGUGGGGAAUUGUUCGCAAUGGGCGCAAGCCUGACGACGCAACGCCGCGU